Ailuropoda melanoleuca (giant panda) is the source of this 1709-nucleotide long non-coding RNA. RefSeq lists it as uncharacterized. The transcript has 4 exons. NCBI's taxonomy places the organism in Eukaryota, Metazoa, Chordata, Mammalia, Carnivora, Ursidae. The record is from RefSeq and is a predicted model, not a curated record.
ACUAUGGAAGGUGCAAAACACCAGAUUCUGCUCUCCAACUGUCAGAGCAGGUGGCGUGGAAACAGGCUGCCUUCUACGAGGACUCCUAACCUGGUUAGAAGCAGGUGUCGUCAGAGACAAGUGUUUCUGCGAUGGCUGCCUUCUCGAGGAUGACCACCCCAAAUCCUGCUCCAGCUGGAAUUCCUGAUGCUCUCUAAGGUCCCAUCCCUCUGUGGAAGCUUCAACAGGAACAGCCAAUACACAGGCCCGUGGUUCUAAAGUUUAUUACCCUGGAGAGUCACUUGGAGGGCAGGGAUCGUUAAAAUGCAGAUUCCUGAGCCCCAGCUGCAGAGAUCUGAUUCAGUAGGAAGCCCAGAAGACAGCAAGCCCAAAUGAAGGAUGUGAGGACGUCCUCCAGGGGCUAGGCUCCUUCUGUCUUUCUGCUCUGCCAGCUUUCAGCGUGGUUCUUUCUCCUGUUUGUAAGAUUACUGCUGCUUCUCCACGCAUCGCAUCCGCAUUCCAGGUGCAGACUGACCUAUAAAAAUGAAUGCAGAGUCAUCGCCUUCUUCCUGCUGUACACCAUGCUAUUUAACUGAGCCCCAAAUCCCUUGAACUGAAACAUCCCACCGUCAAUUUAUACAGAGCAUGCCUUGAACUCUGAUGCUUGUGGGGAAGAGGUAGGGCAAUGGGGACACACACCACUGAAUAUAUACCCUGUGAAAGCCACUCUGCCAUAUCCCUUAUUAGACAUUCCAUUCAGAAGACCCCAAGGCCAUAUCAACCUCAUUCAGGCCAUUGCAAGGCUGGUUUUAUGGACCCAAGGAAGUACUUCACAUAAUCAUUGCUAAACUCCAUGCUGCCAGAUUUAGUCCAUUGCUCCUGAGCUCUGCUAAUGUUACCCAAUGAACUACACAGCUAGCAUUUUUAGCUCUAAGUCACCUUAAAAUAUGAUCUAUCUUUAGUAUUAGUUAGGAUUGUGUUCAGGUAUAAUGGGGAAAAAAAAACCCAACCAAGUAACAGUUACUGACAUAGAACAAGUUUAUUCAAGAAGUGUGGAGGUUGGCGGUGCCUGGGUGGCUCAGUUGGUUAAUAAUCUGACUUGAUUUCAGCUCAGGUCAGAAUCUCAGGGUCAUAAGAUCAAGCCCCAUGUCGGGCUCCAUGCUGGUCAAGAAGCCUGCUUAAGAUUCUCUUUCUCUCUUUCCCUGUGCCCCUCCACCCCCAACCCCUGACUCACUUGCUCUCUCUCUCUCUCUCUCAAAAAAAAAAAAAAAAGUCUGGAGGUUGUCAGCCCAGGGUUGAUAUGACGUGCCAAAGUAUCAGGGAUGCAGGCACCUUCUACCUUGUUACUCUAUUAUGAAGUUCUGCCAGUUUCAAGGUCACUGCCUUGUCCAGGAUGGCUGCUGGACUUCUAGACAUCAUGUCUGAAUUCCAGCCAGCAAGGAAGAGGAAAUCAAGGAAGAGGCAAUGGCCCUUCCUUUUACACAUUUCCUGGUAAUUACAUGUCAUUUCCACUUACAUCCCACUGGCCAGAACUGAGUCACAUAGUCAUAACUUAGCUGCAAGGGUGGAUGGGAAAUGUAGUCUUUGUUCAGAAUGGCUAUAUGUCCAUCUAAAAAUCAGGUAAAUGUCACCAUUAAAGACUGAAAGGAUAUGGGGGACAAUUUGUAGUCUUGGCUAAUCUUUUCCUUUCCUUUCCUUCCUUCCUUCCUUCCUUCCUUCCUUCCUUCCUU